RNAcentral lists this ribosomal RNA (451 nucleotides) under uncultured bacterium. RNAcentral describes it as "bacterial SSU rRNA". It matches the Rfam family "Bacterial small subunit ribosomal RNA", at positions 354 to 796 of the family's 1533-position model. The record is from RNAcentral.
GUGAGGAAUUUUGCGCAAUGGGCGAAAGCCUGACGCAGCGACGCCGCGUGGAGGACGAAGGUCUUCGGAUCGUAAACUCCUGUCAAGCGGGACGAAACCCGGUUGGAUGAAUAAGCCGGCCGGUUGACGGUACCGCUGAAGGAAGCCCCGGCUAACUCCGUGCCAGCAGCCGCGGUAAUACGGAGGGGGCCAGCGUUGUUCGGAAUUAUUGGGCGUAAAGGGCGCGUAGGUGGCCGUGCAAGUCGGAGGUGAAAGCCCUCGGCUCAACCGAGGAACUGCCCCCGAUACUGCAUGGCUUGAGUCCCGGAGAGGGUGGUGGAAUUCCCAGUGUAGCGGUGAAAUGCGUAGAUAUUGGGAGGAACACCGGUGGCGAAGGCGGCCACCUGGACGGGUACUGACGCUGAGGCGCGAAAGCGUGGGGAGCAAACAGGAUUAGAAACCCCAGUAGUCC